This 367-nucleotide ribosomal RNA is filed under the name uncultured Phoma. Its description in RNAcentral is "SSU rRNA". It matches the Rfam family "Eukaryotic small subunit ribosomal RNA", at positions 21 to 375 of the family's 1831-position model. The record is from RNAcentral. Lineage: Eukaryota; Fungi; Ascomycota.
UGUAGUCAUAUGCUUGUCUCAAAGAUUAAGCCAUGCAUGUCUAAGUAUAAGCAAUUAUACCGUGAAACUGCGAAUGGCUCAUUAAAUCAGUUAUCGUUUAUUUGAUAGUACCUUACUACUUGGAUAACCGUGGUAAUUCUAGAGCUAAUACAUGCUGAAAACCCCGACUUCGGAAGGGGUGUAUUUAUUAGAUAAAAAACCAAUGCCCUUCGGGGCUCUUUGGUGAUUCAUGAUAACUUUUCAGAUCGCAUGGCCUUGCGCCGGCGACGGUUCAUUCAAAUUUCUGCCCUAUCAACUUUCGAUGGUAAGGUAUUGGCUUACCAUGGUUUCAACGGGUAACGGGGAAUGGGCGGGGGCGGCGGGCCGG